This is a long non-coding RNA of Gopherus evgoodei (Goodes thornscrub tortoise), 525 nucleotides long. RefSeq lists it as uncharacterized. The transcript is spliced from 3 exons. Lineage: Eukaryota; Metazoa; Chordata; Testudines; Testudinidae. The record is from RefSeq and is a predicted model, not a curated record.
ACAGGCGGAGCUGGAGCACAAACGGGGGCGCUUCGAUUCUGUCUGGCCCAUGCGGGGCUGUUGGAGUCUCUCCCGGCCCGGAGAAGGGUUUGUGCCCUUGGAGCUGUGGGCAUGUGCAGAUAGCGGCGGGAGAGACCUUCAUUAACCCCCCUCUCCCCCGCGUGCCCGGCUCGGCUCGGCUCGCCCCCGUUGCAGAGCUGCAGCCUCCAGGCUACAGAUUAAUGUACACGUUUUGCUCCAGAUCAUCCCAUCCUCCCAGGGGGAAGGAAAUGUCUGCAAUGGAGCUGACUCAGGGGCCGGUGACUUUCGAAGAGGUGGCUGUGUAUUUCACCAGGGAAGAGGGGGCUCUGCUGGACCCCACUCAGAGAGCCCUCUACAGGGAUGUCAUGCAGGAGAGCUAUGAGACGGUGGUCUUGCUGGAUAAGCAGUCCUGUCCCCUGGGUUGUUAGAAGCUGUGGGGUCUCUGAAGAACCUGAGUCGUAAUAACUUUAUACCUUUAUUCAUAAUAAAAGUUUUGACAGGUUU